GCGAACAGACGGGGAGCUUGCUCCCCCGACGUUAGCGGCGGACGGGUGAGUAACACGUGGGUAACCUACCUAUAAGACUGGAAUAACUCCGGGAAACCGGGGCUAAUGCCGGAUAACAUGUUGGACUGCAUGGUCCUACAGUGAAAGACGGUCUUGCUGUCACUUAUAGAUGGACCCGCGCCGUAUUAGCUAGUUGGUAAGGUAACGGCUUACCAAGGCAACGAUACGUAGCCGACCUGAGAGGGUGAUCGGCCACACUGGAACUGAGACACGGUCCAGACUCCUACGGGAGGCAGCAGUAGGGAAUCUUCCGCAAUGGGCGAAAGCCUGACGGAGCAACGCCGCGUGAGUGAUGAAGGCCUUCGGGUCGUAAAACUCUGUUAUUAGGGAAGAACAAAUGUGUAAGUAACUAUGCACGUCUUGACGGUACCUAAUCAGAAAGCCACGGCUAACUACGUGCCAGCAGCCGCGGUAAUACGUAGGUGGCAAGCGUUAUCCGGAAUUAUUGGGCGUAAAGCGCGCGUAGGCGGUUUCUUAAGUCUGAUGUGAAAGCCCACGGCUCAACCGUGGAGGGUCACUGCGAAACCUGGGAAACUUGACGUGCAGGAGAGGAAAGUGGAAUUCCAUGUGUAGCGGUGAAAUGCGCAGAGAUAUGGAGGAACACCAGUGGCGAAGGCGACUUUCUGGUCUGCAACUGACGCUGAUGUGCGAAAGCGUGGGGAUCAAACAGGAUUAGAUAUCCUGGUAGUCCACGCCGUAAACGAUGAGUGCUAAGUGUUAGGGGGUUUCCGCCCCUUAGUGCUGCAGCUAACGCAUUAA
RNAcentral lists this ribosomal RNA (819 nucleotides) under uncultured Staphylococcus sp. Its description in RNAcentral is "bacterial SSU rRNA". It matches the Rfam family "Bacterial small subunit ribosomal RNA", at positions 66 to 863 of the family's 1533-position model. The record is from RNAcentral. Lineage: Bacteria; Bacillati; Bacillota; Bacilli; Caryophanales; Staphylococcaceae.